CAAUCUGCCCUGCACUCUGGGACAAGCCCUGGAAACGGGGUCUAAUACCGGAUACUGACCCGCUUGGGCAUCCAAGCGGUUCGAAAGCUCCGGCGGUGCAGGAUGAGCCCGCGGCCUAUCAGCUAGUUGGUGAGGUAAUGGCUCACCAAGGCGACGACGGGUAGCCGGCCUGAGAGGGCGACCGGCCACACUGGGACUGAGACACGGCCCAGACUCCUACGGGAGGCAGCAGUGGGGAAUAUUGCACAAUGGGCGAAAGCCUGAUGCAGCGACGCCGCGUGAGGGAUGACGGCCUUCGGGUUGUAAACCUCUUUCAGCAGGGAAGAAGCGAAAGUGACGGUACCUGCAGAAGAAGCGCCGGCUAACUACGUGCCAGCAGCCGCGGUAAUACGUAGGGCGCAAGCGUUGUCCGGAAUUAUUGGGCGUAAAGAGCUCGUAGGCGGCUUGUCACGUCGGUUGUGAAAGCCCGGGGCUUAACCCCGGGUCUGCAGUCGAUACGGGCAGGCUAGAGUUCGGUAGGGGAGAUCGGAAUUCCUGGUGUAGCGGUGAAAUGCGCAGAUAUCAGGAGGAACACCGGUGGCGAAGGCGGAUCUCUGGGCCGAUACUGACGCUGAGGAGCGAAAGCGUGGGGAGCGAACAGGA
Molecule: ribosomal RNA, 642 nt
Filed under: Streptomyces sp. 7CM18
Lineage: Bacteria; Bacillati; Actinomycetota; Actinomycetes; Kitasatosporales; Streptomycetaceae
Description: bacterial SSU rRNA
Rfam family: Bacterial small subunit ribosomal RNA
Source: RNAcentral